Molecule: long non-coding RNA, 1712 nt
Organism: Ornithodoros turicata
Lineage: Eukaryota; Metazoa; Arthropoda; Arachnida; Ixodida; Argasidae
Exons: 6
Source: RefSeq, a predicted model, not a curated record
UGGUGAUAGUGUCCAUGAUGGCGAGACCUGAAGAGGAGAUACAAGAAGGGACAUAAACACGCUAUGUUGAGACAUUGUGUAUGUCCCUUGCUAUCCCUCAUCUAAGGGUUUUUCGCUAUGGACCUUCAUGAUGUUUCCUUCGGUCCUUUAGCUCUGGGUUCCAGAGUCUCUUCUCCAGUUGGCUUGGGGGCCUGUUGGUGACAGUCCUGAAGAAAAUGUCAGUGUAGCCCAGGAAGUGCUGGACGAGCACGACUACUUUUCUGCUGGGGCAACGUGGGAGGAGAGUCAGGGACCGUCCACGUUUCAAGCACCUUAUGUCACAGGGGAUGAAGAGGAUACUCCGCUGUCAGCACCACCCGCUAUGGCACGUCGCGGCAGAAAGAGGAAAGCGGCGGCGCCUGAUAUGGAAGACGUCCCUGUGUGGCCUCCGAGCACCAGCCUCACUUGAAAAGUACUCUGCAAAGACGCUCCUCACGUACGCGGCCUCACGAGAGAAACGCCUUGCGAGAGUAGCAGUGAGGUCCCCCAGUGCACAUGCUGUAUUUCUGGCGAGCACUUGCCUCCACUCCACCAGCAUUGCAGCGUCGAUCUGCAAAGCCUUUAAAGGCAUUCCGGCACCACUGAAGAGCUUGCACUCCAUGUCUCAACUAUCACCGUCGGGGUUUCAAGCUGAAGGCUGUCACCAGUGCCAACCAGACGCCACUUCAAAGUUCAUCUGUAUUUGCUGACGGAACAGUGACGCCUGGUAAACCUGUCCCGCAGAUGCCCUGCCCCUUGGUACGCAGAGUUCAAGUAGGUACCGAAACAAUCCACCUGGAGCAUUAUUUUUUCAAUUGGCAGUGGCAUUACUGUCACAACACACCACACACUACAUGUCUAAGGUGUGUGUACAAUGCAUCAAACCUAUUCUCAGAUACAGGCGAGCUGGUACGCAAUUACAACAUGAAACAACUGACACAGAGAUCGUAAAGUCAUGCCAUUUCCUCUGCGCCUCGGGUUUCAUGUUGUUAUCCUCACAUGCAGCUCCUUUCGCCAUUGCUGUGCAGCAUAAGCAAAAGCACAUAUUGUUUUUGGUCACGUGACACGGGACAUAAAUAUAGUGAAACCUUCAUAUGUUGGACACCUGCGGUGCAGCCGAAGCGUGUCCUACUUAUAGAGGUGUCCGAGUUACAGAAUAUGACGGAAACAAAAGAUGGAAAAGAUCACAGCUGUGUUCCCAGAAAUGUCCCCAGAAAUGUCCCCCUUCUUCAAUUUAUGGUCCUUAGUGGUGCCUGGUGGUGGUGCCGGGUAGUUUUAUCUCUACCCACUCUUUACUGAUAAUUAUUACUGAUUUUAGUAGAUUCAAUUCCGUUCAGAUUCCACUCUGUGGCAUUACCUCUGGAGCUUUUCGAGCAGCGAGGACUUGUCUCUGAAGGGUCAGCCCAUUUUUCAUUGCUUUGGUGCAGUGCGCGUUCAAAUGCUCUAGACAAACCAAAGACAAGUGCUCACAUAAAGAAUUACAAUGUAGACUGACAGCACUUGUUUUUGAACUCGAAAAACUAUAGACCAGUAUAGGGGAAAAAAGGGCGAAAGUCAAGGCCACUUGCUCAUCUUGGGUCUUUUUGGUGCAAAGAUGGGACGAUAUUGAGGUAAUUUGGCCAGGGUUUUGUCCGACUUAGCAGGGAAAACCUUGUCCUACUUCCGAGAUAAGGAGGUGUCCGACAUAGAGAAUU